Ailuropoda melanoleuca (giant panda) is the source of this 4686-nucleotide long non-coding RNA. RefSeq lists it as uncharacterized. The record is from RefSeq and is a predicted model, not a curated record. NCBI's taxonomy places the organism in Eukaryota, Metazoa, Chordata, Mammalia, Carnivora, Ursidae. The transcript has 2 exons.
GUCUUGAAAUCUAGGAUUGUAAUACCUCCAGUUCUGAUCUUUUUCAAGAUUGCUUUGGUUAUUUGGGGUCUUUUGUGGUUCCAUACAAAUUUUAGGAUUAUUUGUUCAAGUUUACUCCUUAUAUUUGUAAAAUCAUAACAUGACCACUGUGGAAAGAAGAGGAAUUGUUAGAGGAUAGCAAGAAGGAGCUGGUGUGGUUCAUUCUGAGGGUUAGAGUCAUUUCUUGGGUGGUAGGAGGCCAGCCCGAGUCCCUACCAGUCAAGGCAAGGGAUAAUAGUAAAAACCAGAUGGAGGUUGACCAAGCAAUGUUAUUGACUGGGACCUGCUAGUUGAAGAGCCCAGAUUUGCUGGUUUUCUAGUGAACAGAAAAUACUAAUCAAAUAGAGGAUAAAGCAGUUGGACGGUAACUGUCAUUGAGAUAGAAUGUGGAGAGGUUAAGGGAGGAAAGUGAGCCCGAGUCCCUGCUACCGUGCCAAUUACUCUCUGAAUAAGGCAAGUGACUUCUUGGCUGAAUUGGAGUUCAGGAUGUUGCCCUUGGUUUGUGCUUUUUAUUUCCAUGUCUGCACUGGGCAGGGCAGACAAAGCUGCAGUAACCUGUGAAUAUCCCAUAAGCAUUGAAGGAACAAGAUCUGAUGGGUGGGAUGCCAAGAGAUGUAAUGCAGGGAAGUUCCAGAACUCUCAGUCUGUAGGCAAGCAGUAGUCCUCAAGAAAAUGAACUGUUGCCUGAACUCCCUCCUGUUUUCAAAUGGAAUUUGUUGAAUUCCUCAGUCAAAAGCAGGUUUUAGAAGCUGUUCAGGGCCUGGGUGCAAGGAAGUCCUGAGCCAGGCCAAGCCACCUGGUAGAGUGUGGCUGAAGCGACAUCCCAAAGAGACUUCCCCCACGUGUGGAAGCCACAGAUCAGUGUCCUGGCCCCUGUUCAAGUAGCAAGGACCUAAAGACCACUGGAACCUUUGAGCCCCCUCCCCCUCACAGAGAAGGAAGCUGAGACCCAGGUCAGUUAUGCAGUUUAGCCAAAGUCACCCACAGUGCCCACAACCAGCCCCUCCCUGCCCCCAUCACUGACAGCGCCCCAUAAACCCCACCACCCACUUAGGGAAAAUGAGAUUCUUCUCAGGAAACAGCCAGAAAGUCCGCUCUAGUAUGUAUUUAAUGAGCUAAUGCAAUCUCCUCCCAGGGAUUUCUGCAGUUUCAGUCUUGUCUUAAACGCUUUGUGUCCACUAAACAGAUCCCAGGCUCUGUCUUGUAAAUGUAUAAAUGAGCACCUGUCUCGUAAGUUGAGUUUCAUUAAACCAGCAGACUAAUAGCUUUCAGGGUCUGUGAGAGAGAUAUGCUGUCAAUCUUGUUACCAGCUGUUAGGGGCUGAAUGGUGUCUCCCUAAAAUUCCUAUGUUGAAGUCCUGACCCCCAGCACCUCAGAAUGUGACUGUAUUUGGACAUAGGGCCUUUAAAGGGGUAAUUAAGUUAAAAUGAGGUCAUAUGGGUGCACUUUGAUGCAAUAUCACCGGUGUCCUUAUAAAAAAAAGAUUAGGACACAGACACACGUGGGGGAAGGAUGUGAACACACAGGAAAGAGAGAGAGGAGUCGGGAGAAACCAAACCUGCCAACACCUUGAUCUUGGACUUCCAGCCUCCAGACUGUGAGACAGAACUUUAUGGUGUUGAAGCCGCAGCCUGGGCUGCUUUGUUACAGCAGAGGCAGCAAACGCAGACACCAGCUAUUAGCAUAGAGACAAAUGGAACGGAGCAGAAAGUCCUUGGCAUAUUCUGCAGAGAAGCGUGCCAAAGGGUGGUGGUCUUUCAGCAGCAGGAGCCGGGGUGCUGAUCCUAGUUUCUGGGAAGAAGGCAGCAGGGCAAAGUGGAAUGUCCAUCCCCCAAACUGCACCCCCUGCCCCAACGAGAGAUCUGGUUAUGCUUAUCUAAUCAGGCUCAGUCAAGAAGAGAAAAAAAAUGCAUAGCAGUGUUAUUCACAACAGCCAAAAGGGGGGAGCAAUCCAAAUGCCCAUCAGCAGAUGAGCAGAUAAACAAAUGUGGAUGUAGACACAAUGGGAUAUUAUCCGGCCUUAAAAAGGAAUGGAAUUCUGAUCCGUGCUACAACACCGAUGGACCUUGAAAACAUCAUGCUGGAUGAAAUAAGCCCAUCACAGUAGAGGACACGUAUUGUACAACUCCACCAAUAUCCUCAAAUCCAUAGAGACAGAAAAUAGAGCAGGACUUAACGGGAAGGGGGAGAUAUUGUUCAGUGGGCACAGAGUUCAUGUUUGGGAUGAUGAAAGUUUCAGGUACAGAUAGUGGUAAUAGUUAUACAAUGUUAUGAAUGUAUUUCAUGCCACUAAACUGCACACUUAAAGUGACAAUUGUUAUGUUGUAUUUCCACCACAAUUUUAUAAAUUUAGCAUAAAUCAAAAAUUUAAUAUUUUCAAAGAAUUUUUAUUCAAAAGGAAGAGAAAAAAUGCCCUUAAGGAGUUUCACUCAGUUCCACCCUCUUAGCUGGGGAGAAGGUCUUGCUGGGAAUGGAAGAAGGCGUUUUGGAUCUCGUGGUGGGGGGCCGAGUCCAGACCCUGGAGGUUUUUCUAGGGGAGAUUUAUAUGGGCUCAAGUCAGCAAAGGGUGGGAAGUUAAGAAUGUUAGGAGGAUAGAGAAUAGAAUUGGAAAGGUCCAAUGACCAAGUUCACCUCUUUUGAAUUCUCCUCACACCCCCCCCCCAGAGGCUACUUUCUCAUCCCUCCCCAACUCUGGCUUGAUUUUCUCCAUAGUUGCCUGUGUCUCCGAGACUUUGGGUGCCCGUGCCUCUCUCACUUCACUCCUCUUUGCCUGUUGAAGUAUCAUAUUCUGAAAGGUGGCAGGAGAAAUAUUUGCAGGGUCCAGCCCCAACAUCCCCUAGCAGGGCAAAGAAGGAUGGACUUGGAACCCCUUGUGCACUACUAGCUGGUGCGAAGCCCUCUGCCGGCGGCACCCAGGACACCUGAUUGCCCCUUCCUUCGAAUAUUACCAGGAGGACUCCGACAGCCCCCUGCCGCAAAUGGCCAGGGUGAGCAUCCCUGUGCUCAGGGACGUUCUCUUACGCACUAGAGCGAAGAUUCUCAGAGCUGCAGCCAGUGGGAUUGCUGGGCAUACCACACAGGAACUUACGAAGUGCUGCUAAGCUGCUCUCCAGAACACUGCACAGUCUACCAUCCAAUCUGUACUGCGCAAGGAUUUCCAUUUCCCUACCUCCUUGUCAGCAAUCGCUACCACCUGACUUUCUAAUUCUUCCUAUGCUGUGGGUGUAAAGUGGCAUCUCAUACAAUUUGCAUCUCUUUGGCUAAUAAUGAAGUCGAACAUUUCUUCAUAUUUUCCCUUUUAUAUCCUGGGCCCAUUCUUCUGCUGAUUUCCUGACUUUUGUUUUGUUAAUUUCCUUGGAAAUUCUAGAUAAGAUGUCAAUAAACUUUACUGUCAAGGGCCCAGAUAGUAAGCAUUUUUGGAUUUGCAGGCCAUAUGUUCUCUGCUGCACCCACUCAACUCUGCUGCUAAAGCAUGUAGCGGCUAUGACGAUGCGUAAGGGAGCGAGCAGGGCUGUGUUCCGAUAAAACUUACACAAAAAGGUGUAAAUACAUACAGCAGAAAAGGUCUGAAGAAGUCGGUGUCAUUGAAAUGAAUUGGACGCUUAACCACUGAGCCACACAAGCACCUCAUAAAGGUUGUAUUUUUAAAGAAAAUUUAUUAUUCUUUUUGCUUAAAGUGGGUUUCAAUUUGUAUCACCACAAUAAUGCAGCAGAGCAGAGAGCACUCCAGAACUCAGGGGCUUAAAACAACGUGUGUUUACUAUUGGCAAGUGUGCAUAUGUCGGUUGAGGUUCGGCCUGUCGGGGCUGGGGCAGCUUUGUUUCUCACAACAGGUGGUGGCUUGGCUCCCCGGGUCUCUCCUCCACACCGCGGUGUGCUUUGCCAGAGCCCAUUCUUCUGACGUGAUAGCAACAGUGCAAAGGACAACCAGGAGCAGGCAAGGCCUCUCAAGGCCUAGGGCUUCAGUGGACAUAUAGCCAAGCUCAAGGUCAAGGGGCAAGAGGUAUACUCUAUGCACACGAAGCUGAUGGAAGGGUGUGGAAGCAGAGAGCGUGGAAGACUUGGAGUCAUCAACGCCAUCUACCAAGAAGAGGGUGAAAUCUAAACUCCACUACCUAGAUUUCGAAUUCUCCUAUUGUCUGGUCUCACUCCAUUCAUCCAAUCCACGCCUCUGCUUUGGGCUAUUCAUCUAGGACACAGUUCAUGGACCUUGGGAAUCUUCUAGAAGCUGCACAAGAUUGGGCAAUCCCAGACAGCAACCUGCCUUCCAACUGCAGGCCAAACUUAGCUUGCCGCUGCUUUCCCACCACACAAAAAAGAGGGGGCAGUUUUAUGGGUCUGCUUGUUAUCCACAGUGUUUAUAAAACAAACAAAUGUUAAACAGUUUUUCCUCUAGGAAAUAAACCAAACCAGAGAUCUUCUUUAUGAUCUUUUAUUUUAGUUCUUUGGGGGAAAAAAGUCUCCAGGAAUUAUUUUCUCAAUAAACAAUGACAACAGUUUGUUUUCAUGGGAUUGACUUGAAUCCUCCCCCACUUUCUUUUUUUGGAGUAAGAGGUUGACUACAGAAAUGAGAAAGAGAUUUUUUUAUUCUUUUUUUUGUAUGUGGUUUCUCUGGCUGGAAAAUAAAAGCUCUGCAUUCUUUCUGUA